This 468-nucleotide ribosomal RNA is filed under the name uncultured bacterium. Its description in RNAcentral is "partial 16S ribosomal RNA". It matches the Rfam family "Bacterial small subunit ribosomal RNA", at positions 28 to 507 of the family's 1533-position model. The record is from RNAcentral.
GACGAACGCUGGCGGCGUGCUUAACUCAUGCAAGUCGAACGGAAAGGCCCUGCUUUUGUGGGGUGCUCGAGUGGCGAACGGGUGAGUAACACGUGAGUAACCUGCCCUUGACUUUGGGAUAACUUCAGGAAACUGGGGCUAAUACCGGAUAGGAGCUCCUGCUGCAUGGUGGGGGUUGGAAAGUUUCGGCGGUUGGGGAUGGACUCGCGGCUUAUCAGCUUGUUGGUGGGGUAGUGGCUUACCAAGGCUUUGACGGGUAGCCGGCCUGAGAGGGUGACCGGCCACAUUGGGACUGAGAUACGGCCCAGACUCCUACGGGAGGCAGCGGUGGGGAAUAUUGCACAAUGGGCGGAAGCCUGAUGCAGCAACGCCGCGUGCGGGAUGACGGCCUUCGGGUUGUAAACCGCUUUCGCCUGUGACGAAGCGUGAGUGACGGUAAUGGGUAAAGAAGCACCGGCUAACUACGUG